Molecule: ribosomal RNA, 467 nt
Filed under: uncultured bacterium
Lineage: Bacteria
Description: bacterial SSU rRNA
Rfam family: Bacterial small subunit ribosomal RNA
Source: RNAcentral
UGCCCAGACUCCUACGGGAGGCAGCAGUGAGGAAUAUUGGUCAAUGGGCGCGAGCCUGAACCAGCCAAGUCGCGUGAGGGAUGACGGCCCUACGGGUUGUAAACCUCUUUUGUCGGGGAGCAAAUUCCGUUACGUGUAACGGAGUCGAGAGUACCCGAAGAAAAAGCAUCGGCUAACUCCGUUCCAGCAGCCGCGGUAAUACGGAGGAUGCGAGCGUUAUCCGGAUUUAUUGGGUUUAAAGGGUGCGUAGGCGGACUGUCAAGUCAGCGGUAAAAUACGGGGGCUCAACCUCCGCCCGCUGUUGAAACUGACGGUCUUGAGUGGGCGAGAAGUAUGCGGAAUGCGUGGUGUAGCGGUGAAAUGCAUAGAUAUCACGCAGAACUCCGAUUGCGAAGGCAGUAUACCGGCGCCCAACUGACGCUGAAGCACGAAAGCGUGGGUAUCGAACAGGAUUAGAUACCCUGGUA